This 56-nucleotide transfer RNA is filed under the name Scydmaeninae sp. 840218. RNAcentral describes it as "tRNA-Ser". Lineage: Eukaryota; Metazoa; Arthropoda; Insecta; Coleoptera; Staphylinidae. The record is from RNAcentral.
GAAAUAUAAUAAAAAUAAGCUUCUAACUUAUUAUAUAGCAUAAUGUUAAUAUUUCU